GGCUAAUCCUGGUCGGACAUCAGGAGGUUAGUGCAAUGGCAUAAGCCAGCUUGACUGCGAGCGUGACGGCGCGAGCAGGUGCGAAAGCAGGUCAUAGUGAUCCGGUGGUUCUGAAUGGAAGGGCCAUCGCUCAACGGAUAAAAGGUACUCCGGGGAUAACAGGCUGAUACCGCCCAAGAGUUCAUAUCGACGGCGGUGUUUGGCACCUCGAUGUCGGCUCAUCACAUCCUGGGGCUGAAGUAGGUCCCAAGGGUAUGGCUGUUCGCCAUUUAAAGUGGUACGCGAGCUGGGUUUAGAACGUCGUGAGACAGUUCGGUCCCUAUCUGCCGUGGGCGCUGGAGAACUGAGGGGGGCUGCUCCUAGUACGAGAGGACCGGAGUGGACGCAUCACUGGUGUUCGGGUUGUCAUGCCAAUGGCACUGCCCGGUAGCUAAAUGCGGAAGAGAUAAGUGCUGAAAGCAUCUAAGCACGAAACUUGCCCCGAGA
This 486-nucleotide ribosomal RNA is filed under the name Salmonella enterica. RNAcentral's name for it is "partial 23S ribosomal RNA". It matches the Rfam family "Bacterial large subunit ribosomal RNA", at positions 2319 to 2804 of the family's 2925-position model. The record is from RNAcentral. Lineage: Bacteria; Pseudomonadati; Pseudomonadota; Gammaproteobacteria; Enterobacterales; Enterobacteriaceae.